AGGAUGUAAGCUGAUCUACCAUCAUUCUGGCUGCUGGGCAGGGAAAGUGAGCGAGGCGUUCGCCACCCACCUCCAGAUUGCAAGCUCCAGGAAGGCUGAGUUUGUGCUGCAUUUUAUUCACCGUUGUAUCCCCAGCACCCAGUACAGUGCUUGUCAGUUGCAGGGACUGGUGUUCCAGCAGCCACUUUGGACCAUGAAGUGACCUUGGGAAUGAAAGUCAAUGAUGGUGGAGCAAAAAUACUGAAGCCUUGGGCUUCCCUGGUG
Long non-coding RNA from Balaenoptera musculus (blue whale), 264 nucleotides. RefSeq lists it as uncharacterized. NCBI's taxonomy places the organism in Eukaryota, Metazoa, Chordata, Mammalia, Artiodactyla, Balaenopteridae. The transcript has 3 exons. The record is from RefSeq and is a predicted model, not a curated record.